UAACGCGUGGGUAACCUGCCUCGUACAGGGGGAUAACAGUUAGAAAUGACUGCUAAUACCGCAUAAGACCACAGCACCGCAUGGUGCAGGGGUAAAAACUCCGGUGGUAUGAGAUGGACCCGCGUCUGAUUAGCUAGUUGGUAAGGUAACGGCUUACCAAGGCGACGAUCAGUAGCCGACCUGAGAGGGUGACCGGCCACAUUGGGACUGAGACACGGCCCAAACUCCUACGGGAGGCAGCAGUGGGGAAUAUUGCACAAUGGGGGAAACCCUGAUGCAGCGACGCCGCGUGAGCGAAGAAGUAUUUCGGUAUGUAAAGCUCUAUCAGCAGGGAAGAAAAUGACGGUACCUGACUAAGAAGCACCGGCUAAAUACGUGCCAGCAGCCGCGGUAAUACGUAUGGUGCAAGCGUUAUCCGGAUUUACUGGGUGUAAAGGGAGUGUAGACGGAUGGGCAAGUCUGAUGUGAAAACCCGGGGCUCAACCCCGGGACUGCAUUGGAAACUGUUCAUCUAGAGUGCUGGAGAGGUAAGUGGAAUUCCUAGUGUAGCGGUGAAAUGCGUAGAUAUUAGGAGGAACACCAGUGGCGAAGGCGGCUUACUGGACAGUAACUGACGUUGAGGCUCGAAAGCGUGGGGAGCAAACAGGAUUAGAUACCCUGGUAGCCCACGCCGUAAACGAUGACUACUAGGUGU
This 694-nucleotide ribosomal RNA is filed under the name uncultured bacterium. Its description in RNAcentral is "bacterial SSU rRNA". It matches the Rfam family "Bacterial small subunit ribosomal RNA", at positions 111 to 823 of the family's 1533-position model. The record is from RNAcentral.